ACUGACCGGCACCGAGCGGCCCGGCCCGGGACACUGACCGGCACCGAGCGGCUCUGCUCCGGACACUGACCGGCACCGAGCGGCCCGGCCCCGGCUCUGCUCCGCCCGUCUGUCUGCCCCCGCACAGGCUCCCGCCUCAGCCCCGCUCCGGGCCAGGGGGCACAAGUGCGAUGCUGAAGGACCCGAAGGGCACCACCCACCUCCUUCCACUCGUUGACACAGAAGAUCCUGUAGGAGUCGUUGCCGUACUUGCCGAUGCCGUGCAGCUCGAUGGGGUAGCGCCACGCCUUGCUCAGGUUCUGAGUACAGAACCAGAAAAAUCCCAGCUGGAAGGGCCUUGUGCAGGUCAGCAGAGCAAGCCCGAGCAGAGCCACCCUCUAACAGGGCUCAAACACAGCAGCAGUGCUGCGGGUGCUUGGGUCUGUUCUACUCCUACUCCAACAAGUUUCUGGUCUCCGUGGCUGGCAGUUCCUCCCCAGCUCAGACUGGGAUCAGCAGCUUUGCCAGUGUGACACCAGUGGAUCCCACAUGCUGCCCAAACAGCCACCAACCCACCCAGCAGAGGAGAAGCCACACAGCAGCCUUUGCAUCAAAGCUGUUUGUCUUUUGCCAGCACAACCAGGAUUGUUCCAGACGUCAGGAAAACCCACCCGAGAACCUGAUGAUGGUUUUGGCUCUGAGCUCGUAGAGGCCAAGAGGUUUGAGCAGCUCUGACAUUUCUUUCCAGUCUGCAGCCCUGGCUACCUCAGGAGAAGGAUACUUCUUCAGGAACUCCCAGAGCACUGGAAUGGCCAUUUUCCCUGGUGAAAGAAUCCCGUGAGCAGGAGGCUGGGAUGGAGUUCUCCUUCUGCACUACCCAUAUGCUUUCUCAAGUGAGCUUUUCCAAGGCAAGGUACCAACUAAGGAUUAUUAUUUCACAGCAGCACAAGUUAAAAUAAAUAAAUUCUUUCAUGAAUACCAUUGAAA
Molecule: long non-coding RNA, 966 nt
Organism: Passer domesticus (house sparrow)
Lineage: Eukaryota; Metazoa; Chordata; Aves; Passeriformes; Passeridae
Exons: 3
Source: RefSeq, a predicted model, not a curated record